RNAcentral lists this ribosomal RNA (437 nucleotides) under uncultured Bifidobacterium sp. RNAcentral's name for it is "bacterial SSU rRNA". It matches the Rfam family "Bacterial small subunit ribosomal RNA", at positions 957 to 1393 of the family's 1533-position model. The record is from RNAcentral. Lineage: Bacteria; Bacillati; Actinomycetota; Actinomycetes; Bifidobacteriales; Bifidobacteriaceae.
UAACGCGAAGAACCUUACCUGGGCUUGACAUGUGCCGGACGCCCGCGGAGACGCGGGUUCCCUUCGGGGCCGGUUCACAGGUGGUGCAUGGUCGUCGUCAGCUCGUGUCGUGAGAUGUUGGGUUAAGUCCCGCAACGAGCGCAACCCUCGCCGCGUGUUGCCAGCGGGUCAUGCCGGGAACUCACGCGGGACCGCUGGGGCUAACUCGGAGGAAGGUGGGGAUGACGUCAGAUCAUCAUGCCCCUUACGUCCAGGGCUUCACGCAUGCUACAAUGGCCGGUACAACGGGGUGCGACACGGUGACGUGGGGCGGAUCCCUGAAAACCGGUCUCAGCUCGGAUCGCAGUCUGCAACUCGACUGCGUGAAGGUGGAGUCGCUAGUAAUCGCGGAUCAGCAACGCCGCGGUGAAUACGUUCCCGGGCCUUGUACACACCGA